RNAcentral lists this ribosomal RNA (1539 nucleotides) under metagenome. Its description in RNAcentral is "bacterial SSU rRNA". It matches the Rfam family "Bacterial small subunit ribosomal RNA". The record is from RNAcentral.
AGAGUUUGAUCCUGGCUCAGAACGAACGCUGGCGGCGUGGAUUAGGCAUGCAAGUCGAACGAGAACUUGAGGAGCCGAGGCUUCGGCCAAAGCAUUUCAAGUGAGAGUGGCGAAAGGGUGAGGAACACGUGAGUAACCUACCCAAAGGUGGGGGAUAACCUUCCGAAAGGAGGGCUAAUACCGCAUAUGACCACGAUGUCUUCGGGCAUCGAGGUAAAAGAUGGCCUCUAUUUAUAAGCUGUCACCUUAGGAUGGGCUCGCGGCUUAUCAGCUUGUUGGUGGGGUAAUGGCCUACCAAAGCAAUGACGAGUAGCUGGUCUGAGAGGAUGGUCAGCCACAUCGGGACUGAGACACUGCCCGGACUCCUACGGGAGGCUGCAGUCGAGAAUCUUUCGCAAUGGGGGAAACCCUGACGAAGCGACGCCGCGUGCAGGAUGAAGGCCUUCGGGUUGUAAACUGCUGUCACCCAAGAAGAAAACUGUAUAGAUUAAUACUCUUUACAAUUGACUGUAUUGGGAGAGGAAGCAACGGCUAACUCUGUGCCAGCAGCCGCGGUAAUACAGAGGUUGCAAGCGUUGUUCGGAUUCAUUGGGUGUAAAGGGUGUGUAGGCGGCUAAGUAAGUUAGAUGUGAAAUCCCGGAGCUUAACUCCGGAACGGCAUUUGAUACUGCUUAGCUAGAGUACGUCAGAGGAAAGGGGAAUUCCUGGUGUAAGGGUGAAAUCUGCAGAUAUCAGGAGGAAGAUCAGUGGCGAAGGCGCCUUUCUGGGACGAUACUGACGCUGAGACACGAAAGCUAAGGUAGCGAACGGGAUUAGAUACCCCGGUAGUCUUAGCUGUAAACGAUGGGUACUAGGCGUUGGAAGGGUCAAACCUUUCAGUGCCGCCGCUAACGCAUUAAGUACCCCACCUGGGGAGUACGGUCGCAAGAUUGAAACUCAAAGGAAUUGACGGGGACCCGCACAAAUGGUGGAGCAUGUGGUUUAAUACGACGAUACGCGUGAAACCUCACCCAGGCUUGACAUGUAUUAGACGGUUUGUAGAAAUACAUUCUUUCCCUUACGGGACUGAUACACAGGUGUUGCAUGGCUGUCGUCAGCUCGUGUCGUGAGAUGUUGGGUUAAGUCCCGCAACGAGCGCAACCCCUAUCCUUAGUUGCCAACGGUUCGGCCGGGGACUCUAAGGAGACUGCCGCGGAUAACGCGGAGGAAGGUGGGGAUGACGUCAAGUCAGUACGGCCCUUACGCCUGGGGCUACACACGUGCUACAAUGGCUGGUACAAAGGGUUGCAAAACCGCGAGGUGGAGCCAAUCCCAAAAAACCAGCCCCAGUUCGGAUUGAAGGCUGCAAUUCGCCUUCAUGAAGCCGGAAUCAUUAGUAACCCUGCAUAAGUCACGGCAGGGUGAAUACGUUCCCGGGUCUUGUACACACCGCCCGUCAAGUCAUCCGAGUAGGAUGCACCCGAAGUCGUUGCUCUAACCCGCGAGGGAGGAGCGCUUCUAAGGUGUGUUUUAUGAGGAGGACUAAGUCGUAACAAGGUA